AGAACGAACGCUGGCGGCAUGCCUAACACAUGCAAGUCGAACGAGACCUUCGGGUCUAGUGGCGCACGGGUGCGUAACGCGUGGGAAUCUGCCCUUAGGUACGGAAUAACAGUGAGAAAUUACUGCUAAUACCGUAUGAUGUCUUCGGACCAAAGAUUUAUCGCCUAGGGAUGAGCCCGCGUAGGAUUAGCUAGUUGGUGGGGUAAAGGCCUACCAAGGCGACGAUCCUUAGCUGGUCUGAGAGGAUGAUCAGCCACACUGGGACUGAGACACGGCCCAGACUCCUACGGGAGGCAGCAGUGGGAAUAUUGGACAAUGGGCGAAAGCCUGAUCCAGCAAUGCCGCGUGAGUGAAGAAGGCCUUCGGGUUGUAAAGCUCUUUUACCCGGGAAGAUAAUGACUGUACCGGGAGAAUAAGCCCCGGCUAACUCCGCGCCAGCAGCCGC
Molecule: ribosomal RNA, 445 nt
Filed under: uncultured bacterium
Lineage: Bacteria
Description: SSU rRNA
Rfam family: Bacterial small subunit ribosomal RNA
Source: RNAcentral